This 388-nucleotide ribosomal RNA is filed under the name uncultured bacterium. RNAcentral's name for it is "bacterial SSU rRNA". It matches the Rfam family "Bacterial small subunit ribosomal RNA", at positions 28 to 417 of the family's 1533-position model. The record is from RNAcentral.
GACGAACGCUGGCGGCGUGCUUAACACAUGCAAGUCGAGCGGUAAGGCCCUUUCGGGGGUACACGAGCGGCGAACGGGUGAGUAACACGUGGGUGACCUGCCCUCAGCUCUGGGAUAAGCCCGGGAAACUGGGUCUAAUACCGGAUAUGACUCCACGGUGCAUGUCGUGGGGUGGAAAGCCUUGUGCGGCUGAGGAUGGGCCCGCGGCCUAUCAGCUUGUUGGUGGGGUGAUGGCCUACCAAGGCGACGACGGGUAGCCGGCCUGAGAGGGCGACCGGCCACACUGGGACUGAGACACGGCCCAGACUCCUACGGGAGGCAGCAGUGGGGAAUCUUGCGCAAUGGGCGAAAGCCUGACGCAGCGACGCCGCGUGAGGGAUGACGGCCU